Molecule: long non-coding RNA, 555 nt
Organism: Protopterus annectens (West African lungfish)
Lineage: Eukaryota; Metazoa; Chordata; Ceratodontiformes; Protopteridae
Exons: 3
Source: RefSeq, a predicted model, not a curated record
GAUUCCCUCGGCUGAAGGGACCUUGCUUACGUCACGUCCGACGUCACGGGGCGGGGUUAGCCCUUUCACACUUGUGGGUUAAGGGUUGCGCGUUACUGUACUUACUCCAAGUCUAGUACAGAAUUGCGAGAAAAGGUGAGAGGGUCGCGAACGUGGAUGCACACACCAGCAGACCGCUAAGGCUGCGUCACAAGGCUGGCUUGGUUCGAAUCCCAGGAGUGGUAGUAAGCUGAAUGCAUAAUUUCACCCAGGAAUACGUGAAUAUGGGUAGAAACAGUCAGGCAGUGUUAACAGACUUUUCCUCCAUGGGUCUGCCAGGUAAGAAAAGGUAUGUAUUAGCUGUAAGAAGUCUGUACUUACACACUGUGUACAACACCCACUGUCCAACUCCAAGGCUGCGGAUGACAGCAAGAUAAGUACAUAUUCCAGGUAGUCUCCUCCAAGAAAUGUCCCCCAAGUGUCACGCUAUCAUGGCCAGUGGUCAUUUCUGCCAACACCCAGGGUGACCGAAAGAAAUCAAGGCAGAGUAUGGCAGUAGCACAGACGCACACAGUA